RNAcentral lists this ribosomal RNA (510 nucleotides) under uncultured bacterium. RNAcentral's name for it is "bacterial SSU rRNA". It matches the Rfam family "Bacterial small subunit ribosomal RNA", at positions 26 to 518 of the family's 1533-position model. The record is from RNAcentral.
AGGACGAACGCUGGCGGCAUGCCUAAUACAUGCAAGUCGAACGCUGAAACACUCUGCUUGCAGAGUGUGGAUGAGUGGCGAACGGGUGAGUAACACGUGGGGAAUCUGCCUAUAAGUGGGGGAUAACAUUCGGAAACGGAUGCUAAUACCGCAUAUAUUCAAAAACCGCAUGGUUUCUGAAAGAAAGACGGCUUUGCUGUCGCUUAUAGAUGAUCCCGCGGCGUAUUAGUUAGUUGGUGGGGUAAUGGCCUACCAAGACCAUGAUACGUAGCCGACCUGAGAGGGUGAUCGGCCACACUGGGACUGAGACACGGCCCAGACUCCUACGGGAGGCAGCAGUAGGGAAUCUUCCACAAUGGGUGCAAACCUGAUGGAGCAAUGCCGCGUGAAUGAAGAAGGUCUUCGGAUCGUAAAGUUCUGUUAUUAGAGAAGAACAAGUCAAGGAGUAACUGCCUUGACUUUGACGGUACCUAACCAGAAAGUCACGGCUAACUACGUGCCAGCCGCAGC